This is a long non-coding RNA of Zophobas morio, 335 nucleotides long. RefSeq lists it as uncharacterized. The transcript has 4 exons. The record is from RefSeq and is a predicted model, not a curated record. NCBI's taxonomy places the organism in Eukaryota, Metazoa, Arthropoda, Insecta, Coleoptera, Tenebrionidae.
GCGUGGCAAUUUGACGGCGUCUCCAAGCCGCCUCACGACCAAGCCUUUAAAAAAUGGCGCAUCGUGUCAGGCAGACUCUUCCUACAGUUUGCGUUAAAACGUGGCACACUUUCGAAGUUCAUUAUAGAUAUUACUACCAGUGUGUUAACGAACUUUGCAAAGAACGGUUUGGAUUUCAGAAAAAACUUGCGGGCAACUCGCAGCGUCUUUCUGUAGGGUUUGUGGCAGCUCAAUAGAAGCAGAUUUUUGAAGAAAAAAAAUUUCUUUUUGCAAGAAAUCUUAAGUGAGACUAUAAAUUUCUACUCUUGAGCGGGCUCUUACCAAAAAUUAUUUAG